This 625-nucleotide long non-coding RNA is filed under the name Volvox carteri. RNAcentral describes it as "long non-coding RNA (VCAR_LNC002812)". The record is from RNAcentral. Lineage: Eukaryota; Viridiplantae; Chlorophyta; Chlorophyceae; Chlamydomonadales; Volvocaceae.
CAUAGCAGUUCAAUAAAGUGCGCCCAUUGGGCGCGAUGGUAGCCGCGCCACACAUCCGCCUGUUGACCGUCGCGCCCAUUGGGCGCGAUGGUAGCCAUGCUGCACAUCCGCCUGUUGACUGUCGCGCCCAUUGGGCGCGAUGGUAGCCGCGCUGCACAUCCGCCUGUUUACCGUCGCGCCCAUUGGGCGCGAUGGUAGCCGCGCUGCACAUCCGCCUGUUGACCGUCGCGCCCAUUGGGCACGAUGGUAGCCGCGCCGCACAUCUGCCUGUUCACCGUCGCGCCCAUUGGGCGCGAUGGUCGCCGCCUCACACGUCCGCCUGUUGACCGUCGCGCCCAUUGGGCGCGAUGGUAGCCGCGCUGCACAUCCGCCUGUUCACCGUCGCGCCCAUUGGGCGCGAUGGUAGCCGCGCUGCACAUCCGCCUGUUGACCGUCGCGCCCAUUGGGCACGAUGGUAGCCGCGCCGCACAUCUGCCUGUUCACCGUCGCGCCCAUUGGGCGCGAUGGUCGCCGCCUCACACGUCCGCCUGUUGACCGUCGCGCCCAUUGGGCGCGAUGGUAGCCGCGCUGCACAUCCGCCUGUUUACCGUCGCGCCCAUUGGGCGCGAUGGUAGCCACGCCGCNN